This 482-nucleotide ribosomal RNA is filed under the name uncultured bacterium. RNAcentral describes it as "partial 16S ribosomal RNA". It matches the Rfam family "Bacterial small subunit ribosomal RNA", at positions 30 to 507 of the family's 1533-position model. The record is from RNAcentral.
AUUGAACGCUGGCGGCAUGCUCUACACAUGCAAGUCGAACGGUAACAGGCCGCAAGGUGCUGACGAGUGGCGAACGGGUGAGUAAUGCAUCGGAACGUGCCUAGUCGUGGGGGAUAACUACUCGAAAGAGUAGCUAAUACCGCAUACGAUCUAUGGAUGAAAGCGGGGGACCGUAAGGCCUCGCGCGAUUGGAGCGGCCGAUGUCAGAUUAGGUAGUUGGUGGGGUAAAGGCUCACCAAGCCAACGAUCUGUAGCUGGUCUGAGAGGACGACCAGCCACACUGGGACUGAGACACGGCCCAGACUCCUACGGGAGGCAGCAGUGGGGAAUUUUGGACAAUGGGCGCAAGCCUGAUCCAGCAAUGCCGCGUGCAGGAAGAAGGCCUUCGGGUUGUAAACUGCUUUUGUACGGAACGAAACGGCUCUGGUUAAUACCCGGGGCUAAUGACGGUACCGUAAGAAUAAGCACCGGCUAACUACGUG